Salmo salar (Atlantic salmon) is the source of this 3277-nucleotide non-coding RNA. The record is from RefSeq and is a predicted model, not a curated record. Lineage: Eukaryota; Metazoa; Chordata; Actinopteri; Salmoniformes; Salmonidae.
UCCGGGUGCUGGACCGGGAUGGGAACGGGUUCAUCUCUAAGCAGGAACUGGGCAUGGCUAUGAGGUCCCUGGGAUACAUGCCUAGCGAGGUGGAGCUGGCCAUCAUCAUGCAGAGACUGGACAUGGACGGUGAUGGCCAGGUGGACUUUGAAGAGUUUGUGACGAUACUGGGACCCAAACUUCUGUCGGCUGAGACCAGAGAAGGUUUCCGAGGAAGCACCAUCGAUAACAUCUUCUGGCAGUUUGACAUGCAGCAGAUGUCUCUUGACGAGCUGAAGCAGAUUCUGUUCCAUGCGUUCCAAGACCACCUGACAAUGAAGGAUAUCGAGAACAUUAUCAUCAACGAAGAGGAGAGCCUCAAUGAGACAGGGAACUGCCCCGAGUACGAGGGAGGUGAGGGGGAGGGGGGACAGAGAGGGCGAGAGCUGAGAGAGGGAGGGGAGAGAGAUAGAUGGUAGAGAUAGAGUGAAAGAGGGGCAGAAAUCUAAAAUGAAACCUCAGGGAACAGCCAGACAGUCUGAAGUAGGAGAGAGUGGAGGGGAAUAAAAUAGAGAGAGAGAGAGAUUUCCCCUACCACAUAGAAGGAUUUCAAGAUAUCCAGUUAGAGAUACUACAUUUUCAGUCUCUGGGCUCGGUGCUUCUAUGUGGUGAUCUCAACGCCAGGACUGAGGUGAGGUGGACUACAUAGAAUCAGAAGGAAACACCUAUCUAUUUGGAAAGGCAUCUUUCUACAAUUAAACAAAUCCCCAUUCACAGAAAAAGUUAUGAUAGUGUGGUUAACAAAAGUAGGCGAGAGAUAUUUCAGCUCUGCAAAGGUCUCAGUAUGUACUGUAUAUUGUUAAUGGUAGGACAAGGGGUGACUCAUUGGGCCGAUUCACAUACAGCUCUGUGCUAGGAAGACAGUGUGGUGGACUACUCCAUAACAUAUAUUCCACCUCAACAUAAUAAUGCAUUUACAGUCAUGCCACAACUUGCCCUGUCGGAUCACUUCCAGAUCACAUUUAACCUUAAAGAUCUAUGGAGUCAACCAAAAUCCCAAAUCAGAAACCAUAUCUAUUCAGUCUCCCUCCCAUUUACAAAUGGAAAAAGACCAGUGACAGAGCAUUUGAGACCACAUUAAACAACGAUGAUGUAAUUGAUAACUUGCUGAACCGCUUUCAGUACAUCAAAUUGAGUUAUAGUAAAGAAGACAUUCAUUUGGCAACAUAUGAAUAAAACGAAAUAUUUGACAAACUUGCAACACAAUUAUGUCUUAAAAAGACUAAUGUGGGGAAAACAUGCACACAGCGUCACUACUUCACAGGAAAGGCAUUUGAAUGUAAAAACAUUUUUUAAAUCAUCUAAAAUGCAUUUGUUUGAAGAAAUGCCUUUUUGAACAUGUGAACUUUUAUGUGCCGUAAUUACAAACUUGUAUUUAAUCUGUAAAUAUAAAUAAGUGUAGCUACAGCUUUCAAUAGCAGUGUCGUCCUGAAUACAGCGGCUGGUAUCGACACAGCUCUGUCAUCUGUGGCAAAAGCAGUCUGGACUGGUUGAAGCCGAGUGGGAAGGAUUAUUUUGGGAGUGUUUCAUUCAGCUGUGAAUCAUCGUAAUCCAUACACAGCAUAAACCUGCUCUCUGCCACUAGUACAAGGAGAUGAUCGAGGGGGAACAAGCAAUGCUUCAGCUUCAAUUGUCUGGAGCCUGGUGUUGUUGUGGCCAAGGAGCUUUCACUCAGAUGGAACCUGCAGUGUUGACAUUCUUCCUGCCAGAGAUGUGAAAGCAUUCCCAGGACUGGACACAACCCGGCAAACAUAUAUUUUUGAGAAGAUCAGGACUUUUGCAAUGAGAAGGCCAUGGAUAUUACAUGUCCUGCUCCAAAGGGCAGGACAGAAAUAUGCUCUCAGGCUAGAUUCCUUUGUUCAUAUCAUAUCACUGAAAGGAUCUUAUGAUAUAGGCCUAUGUCUAGAUAGUCUUUUUCCUAAUUGUACUGUAGGCUACUACCUUUAGCUCUUGAAGUUAAUAAAGUAUUUUAAUGUUGAAAUAUUUAUUUAAGAACGACUUCACUGCUUCAGCACAUGGCCACAUUCACAUUUCAAUAUGAAUACUUUAAGAGAUGGGUGGGUCUAAUGCUUUAGAGGGUUUAAACGAUGCUAAAUGGCCGGAAACGAAGAGCAGCAUCGUAGCUGUUCAAUGUUAAAGGUUAUCUUUAUUAUACAGCAAUAGGCAAUUUAAUACUGUUAGUGAUUUGCCUAAUGGGGGAACUUAGUGAGAUAACGUUCAGAGAAUCCAUUUAGGUCAUUUGGUAAAAGUAUUCCUCUUCUAAAUAUAUGUUUCCCAAGUGUUAGGUUCUAAUUUUGAGUAAAUAACUCACGGACACUAGAGAAGCUUAACCAAGUUUAAUUCUUCUCUACAUUACCCUUUCUCCCUCUGUGACAUUGUUAGUUUCCAAGAUCUCCACCCGUCUCCCCUUAUCAAUGCCUGCCACAUCUAAUCGCUUCCCUGCACUCAACACAUUCCAAGCUUAGUUACACACACUAUAUGCCUUCCUCCUAUAACCCCUAACUUCUGUUUUAGACCCUCAACCUUAGCACUCCAUCAGUGACAGGACUAAGUAUAUUUUCAUAUUCUCAGAACCCAACACAAGUAUUAAUGUAGAGCAAGUGUGAAAAUCGCUGCAAAAUGUUUGAAGGCCUUUUCUCCUAAAUGGGAUUAUAGAUGUAUCACCUUUUAAAGCAGUAUUACUUCCCCAUGUUUCCUGCAACUACAGUGUAUGAUAUGCCAUUUUGAAGCUCUGUCUGUACUUUUAUCCAAUGUAAAAAACAAAAUUGUACAUUUUGGAACAAAAGACUGAAAUGAGAUGGUGGGUCACAAAUGGGUUAACAGGGAAUGUAACACCGCCAGGAAAAACCUGAGGUAACUGUCAAAUCAAAAACACAGAAACUCUACAGACUAGAGGGGUAUUCCAGAAAGAUAGUUUAAUAAAUUCUGGAUUUACUGAACAUAUCCGGCUUGUCUUAACCAGAUGAGGAGUACUCAUCUGCUUGCCAUUACAGUGUGUGGGUUGUUGUCUUACAGUUGAUGUAGCUUGUGUCAUUGGGGCUGGUAUUAUUGUUAUUUCACUUUCCAUCUCCUUUUGUCUUUCCACUAUCAUCUAGCAGUAAUGAUAGACAUUUUAGAAGAUUCAACAUCUACUCUCUGCUCAUCUUCUCAGGCAACCCCCACAUCAUGAAUGCAAUGUUACAAAAUCAGCUUCCCCAAAGACAAUGUAGGGUGGAUAUGCUGUGAAGACAGACCGAGG